This 796-nucleotide ribosomal RNA is filed under the name Pseudogymnoascus sp. RNAcentral describes it as "partial large subunit ribosomal RNA". It matches the Rfam family "Eukaryotic large subunit ribosomal RNA", at positions 81 to 898 of the family's 3401-position model. Lineage: Eukaryota; Fungi; Ascomycota; Leotiomycetes; Thelebolales; Thelebolaceae. The record is from RNAcentral.
CAGUAACGGCGAGUGAAGCGGUAACAGCUCAAAUUUGAAAUCUGGCCUCACGGUCCGAGUUGUAAUUUGUAGAGGAUGCUUCGAGCAUGGUCUGGCCUAAGUUCCUUGGAACAGGACGUCAUAGAGGGUGAGAAUCCCGUAUGCGGCCAGGUGCCUACGCUCAUGUGAAGCUCCUUCGACGAGUCGAGUUGUUUGGGAAUGCAGCUCAAAAUGGGUGGUAAAUUUCAUCUAAAGCUAAAUAUUGGCCAGAGACCGAUAGCGCACAAGUAGAGUGAUCGAAAGAUGAAAAGCACUUUGGAAAGAGAGUUAAACAGUACGUGAAAUUGUUGAAAGGGAAGCGCUUGCAACCAGACUUGCGCGCGGCCGAUCAUCCGGUGUUCUCACCGGUGCACUCGGCCGUGCUCAGGCCAGCAUCGGUUUUGGCGGCUGGAUAAAGGCCCUAGGAAUGUAGCUCCUCUCGGGGAGUGUUAUAGCCUAGGGUGCAAUGCAGCCUGCUGGGACCGAGGACCGCGCUUCGGCUAGGAUGCUGGCGUAAUGGUUGUAAGCGGCCCGUCUUGAAACACGGACCAAGGAGUCUAACAUCUAUGCGAGUGUUUGGGUGUCAAACCCAUACGCGUAAUGAAAGUGAACGGAGGUGAGAACCCUUAAGGGUGCAUCAUCGACCGGUCCUGAAGUUUACGGAAGGAUCUGAGUAAGAGCAUAGCUGUUGGGACCCGAAAGAUGGUGAACUAUGCCUGAAUAGGGUGAAGCCAGAGGAAACUCUGGUGGAGGCUCGCAGCGGUUCUGACGUGCAAAU